GAUGAAGAACGUAGCGAAAUGCGAUAAGUAAUGUGAAUUGCAGAAUUCAGUGAAUCAUCGAAUCUUUGAACGCACAUUGCGCCCGCCAGUAUUCUGGCGGGUAUGCCUGUUCGAGCGUCAUUUCAACCAUCAAGCCCCCGGCUUGUGUUGGGGACCUGCGGCUGCCGCAGGCCCUGAAAACCAGUGGCGGGCUCGCUAGUCACUCCGAGCGUAGUAAUACAUCUCGCUCAGGGCGUGCUGCGGGUUCCGGCCGUUAAAAGCCUUAUUUACCCAAGGUUGACCUCGGAUCAGGUAGGAAGACCCGCUGAACUUAAGCAUAUCAAUAAGCGGAGGA
RNAcentral lists this unclassified non-coding RNA (334 nucleotides) under soil metagenome. RNAcentral describes it as "partial contains 5.8S ribosomal RNA, internal transcribed spacer 2, and large subunit ribosomal RNA". The stretch from base 1 to 120 matches the Rfam family "5.8S ribosomal RNA", at positions 35 to 154 of the family's 154-position model. The record is from RNAcentral.